AGGAGUGCAGAGUCCCUUAAAAUUCACUAAGACUUUUGGUUACUAUUUUCUAGAGACUUCAGACCAGUCCCUGGUUGAGGGUAUCAGAAUUAUCCAGAGAAAGCUUUUUUAAAAAAACAAAUAUUUAGGGAUUCUGAUUCAGUGGGCUUGGAGUGGGAUCUGGGGAGGGCCUCCUAUUUUUUUUUUAACUCCUCAGAUGUUCUGGUGUGUAGCCAGGUUUGGGAAAUGGUGACCUCAUCAGUUCUUCUUAGUGUUUUUAAAUUUUUUUAAGUCAUAAACACUUUUGAGAAGCUGAAGAAAGUUAUCAACACUUUCCCUAGGGAAAAAAAGAUGCUCACCCAGAAAAAAUUUUGCAUACAAUGUCAGGAAGUCUGAAUACCCUCCCUCUGAAGGCCAUCCAAGACCACCCAUUAAAGAACCUUGUCAGUACUUGAUGCUGGAAUCCCAUCUACAAGUGCCAUGAAAAUAGCCUCUGGGGUCUCCCUUGUACUCCUCCAGUGACAGGGGGCUCAUUACCUUUGGAGAAGUUCUAUCCCCUUUUGGGGGGGAGCAUUAGUCUUCAGUAAAGUCCUUUUUGUGGUGAGCAGAAACUGGCUGUCUCUUCUCAAAGCAGCCUUCUCCAGCGCCCCUAGCUUUCACCUGCAAGUCCCACAUUCGUCCUCUGGCUCAUCUUUCUGGUUUUAUUGGGGUUUAGAGGGGAGAGCUGCCGCAGGAGGCCAGGAGAAGCUGAGGGGUGGCCCAGGAUGAGGAGCUGUUCCUCUUGGGAUUUGAGACUUCAGGAGCAGAUUAUUGACCAGAUCCUGGUGAUUCCUGUUCCUGACACUUCAUCUCUUUGUCCUUUUUAGAGACCCCUCUCCGUGAAUCCAGCACGAAAUGUCAAACCUACUUCAUCGUCACAAUCCUCUCCCUGAACCUUUCCCUGUGGCUCUCUCUCUUGGAGUGGCUGACGCCCAAGCUUGGGAGAUGAACUUUUUCAACAUGAGUCAGAGACUCAGUGGGUCCAGUCACAGGGAGUCACAGUGUUGGCUCUAGGAAUGCAUCCUUGAGGAACUUGCAGCCCAGCAAGGAAAACGGAGAGUCAGAAAUGACAUAUGCAGUGCACGUUACAAGAUGGAAAUUGCAGGGGGUCUAAGGAGCCAAUAUUCCACUCUGGGUUUCAGGAACCCCACCCCUGAUCCCAAGUAAGUGAUUUCUUCAGUUGAAAGCUGAAUGUUGAGCAAGGGUUAGCCAGAGUGGAGACAAGAGUGGGGCAAUAUUCCAGGUCGAGGGAGCUUCCAGGAUCAGAGGCUGGAGGAGGGGUGAGGGUGCUCUAAAUUUUCCUAGACCUGAAUUGAGGCCCACACUUCUGGGACCUCAAAGCCCAACGCCAAGUGGUGGAUUGGUGGUUAGGAGGGUACAGGGUCUAGCUUACAUGGGUCUUAGGAGGCAGGGCAAGGAUUUUUUUUUUUUUAACCUUGAGAAUAAUAGGGUUAUAAGAAGUUGAUGAGUUUCACCCCCCCCCCCAAAAAAAAUAGGAUUUGAUUGUAUCAUUCCAGAACUCAGUGGUUACUCCCUUGGUCUCAUCUCCUUCGAGGAAAGCCUGGCCAAUGAAUACCUCUUCUGUGAUCUCCAAACACCCUUUCUGCAUCUUUUCUUCAUCCCAAGACACCAGCAUCUCACCUGCAAAGUAGGUACUAUAUUGUAGAUGCAUAUGGGGAUGACAACACACUUGCUCAGAGAGGUCAUCCGCCAAGGUCAUCCAGCCAGGAAGGGGCAGAGCAAGGAUUUGAACCCCGGUCUAUCUGCUCGGAACCCCGGGCUUUGUCCACCAUGUGUGCAUGGUCAAGAUAAUGACUGACACCUGGAAAUAACCAUCCUCAGCCACGUCCCCAGGUAGAAAAAGCCGUGGUCUGUGGAACUCUCCUUGCAAAUGCUGGAGGGAAAACAAUCUCCCUCUAAAAUGAACAUCUGCAUAGAGCUGGGUUGGGUGGGAGCUCGAGGAGCAGAAGCUCUGUUUGCAUAUUAAGGAGGCAAAGAUGCCAGUGGCUCAUUAAUGAUG
Molecule: long non-coding RNA, 2038 nt
Organism: Delphinapterus leucas (beluga whale)
Lineage: Eukaryota; Metazoa; Chordata; Mammalia; Artiodactyla; Monodontidae
Source: Ensembl